GGACUGCGGAAGACAUUACCGAACUGUCAACACGAGUUGUUGCUGGUCCUCAAAACGGGGGCAUGCUGCACGCUCUGUUUACACAUCCACUCACACCUGUGCACCCUCUGUAGUUCCGUGGCAUGGGGGACUCUGUCCUCCUGCUGUGGUCCUACGUCUUUACACAUACUCUGUAAUAAAGUCUCAUGGAAUGCAUGACGCGUUUAACGCAAUACAAUACAACUUUCAGCAACGGAUCUCUUGGCUCUCGCAUCGAUGAAGAACGCAGCGAAAUGCGAUAAGUAAUGUGAAUUGCAGAAUUCAGUGAAUCAUCGAAUCUUUGAACGCACCUUGCGCCCUUUGGCUAUUCCGAAGGGCAUGCCUGUUUGAGUAUCAUGAACACCUCAACUCUCAUGGUUUGCCAUGAUGAGCUUGGACUUUGGAGGUCUUGCUGGCCUGUGGUCGGCUCCUCUCAAAUGGAUCAGCUUGCCAGUGUUUGGUGGCAUCAUGGGUGUGAUAACUAUCUACGCCUGUGGUUUUUUACCAGAUAACCUUCAGUGAUGGAGGUUCGCUGGAGCUCAUAAAUGUCUCUCCUCAGUGAAGACAGCUUUUUGAACGUUUGAUCUCAAAUCAGGUAGGACUACCCGCUGAACUUAAGCAUAUCAAUAAGC
This 650-nucleotide ribosomal RNA is filed under the name Tomentella fuscocinerea. RNAcentral describes it as "eukaryotic LSU rRNA". The stretch from base 221 to 375 matches the Rfam family "5.8S ribosomal RNA". The record is from RNAcentral. Lineage: Eukaryota; Fungi; Basidiomycota; Agaricomycetes; Thelephorales; Thelephoraceae.